RNAcentral lists this ribosomal RNA (476 nucleotides) under Hyperolius hutsebauti. RNAcentral describes it as "partial 16S ribosomal RNA". It matches the Rfam family "Bacterial large subunit ribosomal RNA", at positions 1858 to 2553 of the family's 2925-position model. Lineage: Eukaryota; Metazoa; Chordata; Amphibia; Anura; Hyperoliidae. The record is from RNAcentral.
CCUGCCCCGUGAACUAAUUCAACGGCCGCGGUAUCUUGACCGUGCAAAGGUAGCAUAAUCAAUUGUUCUUUAAAUAAGGACUAGUAUGAACGGCAUCACGAGGGUUUAACUGUCUCCCUAUUUUAAUCAAUGAAAUUGAUCCCCCCGUGAAGAAGCGGGGAUAUAACUAUAAGACGAAAAGACCCCAUGGAGCUUUAAACUUAUUUUCAAUUACCAAAACCAAAACAUACACCCGGUAAAAAUGAUAAACGUUUUCGGUUGGGGCGACCCUGGAGAAAAACAAAUCCUCCAAGCUGAAUAAACUAAAAUUUAAUGUUAGAGCAACAACUCAAACAAUCAAAACCUUGACAAAAUGACCCAGAAUUCAUCUGAUCAACGAACCAAGUUACCCUGGGGAUAACAGCGCAAUCCAUUUCAAGAGCCCUUAUCGACAAAUGGGUUUACGACCUCGAUGUUGGAUCGGGGUAUCCUAGCAG